This 299-nucleotide long non-coding RNA is filed under the name Setaria viridis. RNAcentral's name for it is "long non-coding RNA (SVIR_LNC004433)". Lineage: Eukaryota; Viridiplantae; Streptophyta; Magnoliopsida; Poales; Poaceae. The record is from RNAcentral.
CGGAUCCAAGUAGAAUACAAAUCAUACAAUCUAAUCAAGAUGUGCUAAUGUGUGGAUGGAAUUUGGUGGAAAGAUGUAUGGACUCCUUUUGUAUGAUUCCAUCUCUCUCCUUUUUUUCUUUCUUUUGGAUAUGGGCUAUCCUUUUCUCUUUCUCUCUUUUUUUCUUUUUUUUCAUCAUGCCUUGAGCAUGGCUUUAUUUAUUUUUGCAUAGCCCAUGUCUCUUUUGCAAGGAUACAUUUGGAGAGAGAUGUCACGCUACAUGUGGAGUUUUAUUUGGUGGAUUGAUGGAUGGACGCGAU